GACGAACGCUGGCGGCGUGCUUAACACAUGCAAGUCGAACGGAAAGGCCCUGCUUGCAGGGUACUCGAGUGGCGAACGGGUGAGUAACACGUGGGUGAUCUGCCCUGCACUUCGGGAUAAGCCUGGGAAACUGGGUCUAAUACCGGAUAGGAGCCAUUUUUAGUGUGAUGGUUGGAAGGUUUUUUCGGUGUAGGAUGAGCUCGCGGCCUAUCAGCUUGUUGGUGGGGUAAUGGCCUACCAAGGCGGCGACGGGUAGCCGGCCUGAGAGGGUGGACGGCCACAUUGGGGCUGAGAUACGGCCCAGACUCCUACGGGAGGCAGCAGUGGGGAAUAUUGCACAAUGGGCGCAAGCCUGAUGCAGCGACGCCGCGUGGGGGAUGACGGCCUUCGGGUUGUAAACUCCUUUCGCUAGGGACGAAGCUUUUUGUGACGGUACCUAGAUAAGAAGCACCGGCUAACUACGUGC
Molecule: ribosomal RNA, 466 nt
Filed under: uncultured bacterium
Lineage: Bacteria
Description: partial 16S ribosomal RNA
Rfam family: Bacterial small subunit ribosomal RNA
Source: RNAcentral